This 465-nucleotide ribosomal RNA is filed under the name uncultured bacterium. Its description in RNAcentral is "partial 16S ribosomal RNA". It matches the Rfam family "Bacterial small subunit ribosomal RNA", at positions 338 to 795 of the family's 1533-position model. The record is from RNAcentral.
CCUACGGGCGGCAGCAGUGGGGAAUAUUGCGCAAUGGGCGAAAGUCUGACGCAGCGACGCCGCGUGAGGGAUGAAGGUCUUCGGAUCGUAAAGCUCUGUUAGUAGGGAAGUACGGUCACUGUGGUAAUCAGCAUUGAAUUGACGGUAAUUGCAAAGGAAGCACCGGCUAACUCCGUGCCAGCAGCCGCGGUAAUACGGAGGGUGCGAGCGUUAUUCGGAUGUAUUGGGCGUAAAGCGAUCGUAGGCGGUAUGUUAAGUCUGGGGUGAAAGCCUGCGGCUCAACGGGAGAAUUGCAUUUGAAACUGGCAAACUGGAGUGCAGGAGAGGAGGGUGGAAUUCCAGGUGUAGGGGUGAAAUGCGUAGAUAUAUGGAAGAACAUCAGUGGCGAAGGCGGCUCUCUGGCCCGUAACUGACGCUGAGGCGCGAAAGCGUGGGUAGCAAACAGGAUUAGAUACCCGAGUAGUC